AGAGUUUGAUCAUGGCUCAGAACGAACGCUGGCGGCAGGCUUAACACAUGCAAGUCGAACGCCCCGCAAGGGGAGUGGCAGACGGGUGAGUAACACGUGGGAACGUGCCCAAAGGUACGGAACAACUCCGGGAAACUGGAGCUAAUACCGUAUGUGCCCGAAAGGGGAAAGAUUUAUCGCCUUUGGAUCGGCCCGCGUCUGAUUAGCUAGUUGGUGGGGUAAUGGCCCACCAAGGCGACGAUCAGUAGCUGGUCUGAGAGGAUGAUCAGCCACACUGGGACUGAGACACGGCCCAGACUCCUACGGGAGGCAGCAGUGGGGAAUAUUGGACAAUGGGCGCAAGCCUGAUCCAGCCAUGCCGCGUGAGUGAUGAAGGCCUUAGGGUUGUAAAGCUCUUUUGUCCGGGAGGAUAAUGACCGUACCGGAAGAAUAAGCUCCGGCUAACUUCGUGCCAGCAGCCGCGGUAAUACGAAGGGAGCUAGCGUUGUUCGGAAUUACUGGGCGUAAAGCGCAUGCAGGCGGAUCGUUAAGUCGAGGGUGAAAUCCCAGGGCUCAACCCUGGAACUGCCUUCGAUACUGGCGACCUUGAGUCCGGGAGAGGUGAGUGGAACUCCGAGUGUAGAGGUGAAAUUCGUAGAUAUUCGGAAGAACACCAGUGGCGAAGGCGGCUCACUGGCCCGGUACUGACGCUGAGAUGCGAAAGCGUGGGGAGCAAACAGGAUUAGAUACCCUGUAGUCCACGCCGUAAACGAUGAAUGCUAGCCGUCGGUGGGCAUGCCCUUCGGUGGCGCAGCUAACGCUUUAAGCAUUCGCUGGAGUACGAUCGCAGAUUAAAACUCAAAGGAAUUGACGGGGCCCGCACAAGCGGUGGAGCAUGUGUUUAAUUCGACGCAACGCGAAGACCUUACCAGGCCUUGUAUCCCGGU
Molecule: ribosomal RNA, 926 nt
Filed under: uncultured Hyphomicrobiales bacterium
Lineage: Bacteria; Pseudomonadati; Pseudomonadota; Alphaproteobacteria; Hyphomicrobiales
Description: bacterial SSU rRNA
Rfam family: Bacterial small subunit ribosomal RNA
Source: RNAcentral